Molecule: ribosomal RNA, 253 nt
Filed under: uncultured bacterium
Lineage: Bacteria
Also listed under: 1 other name
Description: partial 16S ribosomal RNA
Rfam family: Bacterial small subunit ribosomal RNA
Source: RNAcentral
UACAGAGGGUGCGAGCGUUGUUCGGAAUUAUUGGGCGUAAAGGGUGCGUAGGCGGUGCCACAAGUCACUUGUGAAAUCCCCAGGCUUAACCUGGGGCCUGCAGGCGAAACUGUGGUGCUGGAGUAUGGGAGAGGUGCGUGGAAUUCCCGGUGUAGCGGUGAAAUGCGUAGAUAUGCGGAGGAACACCGAUGGCGAAGGCAAUCCCCUGGGCCUGCACUGACGCUCAUGCACGAAAGCGUGGGGAGCAAACAGG